RNAcentral lists this ribosomal RNA (315 nucleotides) under uncultured eukaryote. RNAcentral describes it as "partial 18S ribosomal RNA". It matches the Rfam family "Eukaryotic small subunit ribosomal RNA", at positions 1470 to 1796 of the family's 1831-position model. The record is from RNAcentral.
CCCUUAGAUGUUCUGGGCUGCACGCGCGCUACACUGACGCACGCAACAGGUGCCUGCUCCGAGAGGACUGGGUAAUCAUUUGAGUGUGCGUCGUGAUGGGGAUAGAAUAUUGUAAUUAUUACUCUUCAACGAGGAAUUCUUAGUAAGCGCCAGUCAGCAGCUUGCGCUGAUUACGUCCCUGCCCUUUGUACACACCGCCCGUCGCUCCUACCGAUGGGUGAUCCGGUGAAUGAUUCGGACUUCAGCGGCUCCCCUGGGGUGCGCCGGAGAAAGUUUUGUGAACCUUAUCACUUGGAGGAAGGAGAAGUCGUAACA